RNAcentral lists this ribosomal RNA (289 nucleotides) under Strombidium inclinatum. RNAcentral describes it as "partial Bacterial large subunit ribosomal RNA". It matches the Rfam family "Bacterial large subunit ribosomal RNA", at positions 1976 to 2278 of the family's 2925-position model. Lineage: Eukaryota; Ciliophora; Spirotrichea; Strombidiidae. The record is from RNAcentral.
GUAAGUUCCGACCUGCACGAAUGGUGUAACGAUCUGGGCACUGUCUCAACCAUGAGCUCGGUGAAAUUGAAGUAUCGGUGAAGAUGCCGAUUACCCGCAACGGGACGAAAAGACCCCGUGAACCUUUACUACAGCUUCGUAUUGGGCUUGGGUAUAAAAUGUGUAGGAUAGGUGGGAGACUAUGAAGUUCAUGCGCUAGUGUGGAUGGAGUCGUCCUUGAAAUACCACCCUUUUUAUACUUAGGUCCUAACUCGUCAGAGGACAGUGCGUGGUGGGUAGUUUGACUGGG